Molecule: ribosomal RNA, 653 nt
Filed under: Salmonella enterica subsp. enterica serovar Montevideo
Lineage: Bacteria; Pseudomonadati; Pseudomonadota; Gammaproteobacteria; Enterobacterales; Enterobacteriaceae
Description: partial 23S ribosomal RNA
Rfam family: Bacterial large subunit ribosomal RNA
Source: RNAcentral
CUGGUUCUCCCCGAAAGCUAUUUAGGUAGCGCCUCGUGAAUUCAUCUCCGGGGGUAGAGCACUGUUUCGGCUAGGGGGCCAUCCCGGCUUACCAACCCGAUGCAAACUGCGAAUACCGGAGAAUGUUAUCACGGGAGACACACGGCGGGUGCUAACGUCCGUCGUGAAGAGGGAAACAACCCAGACCGCCAGCUAAGGUCCCAAAGUCAUGGUUAAGUGGGAAACGAUGUGGGAAGGCCCAGACAGCCAGGAUGUUGGCUUAGAAGCAGCCAUCAUUUAAAGAAAGCGUAAUAGCUCACUGGUCGAGUCGGCCUGCGCGGAAGAUGUAACGGGGCUAAACCAUGCACCGAAGCUGCGGCAGCGACGCUGAUGCGUUGUUGGGUAGGGGAGCGUUCUGUAAGCCUGCGAAGGUGGCCUGUGAGGGUUGCUGGAGGUAUCAGAAGUGCGAAUGCUGACAUAAGUAACGAUAAAGCGGGUGAAAAGCCCGCUCGCCGGAAGACCAAGGGUUCCUGUCCAACGUUAAUCGGGGCAGGGUGAGUCGACCCCUAAGGCGAGGCCGAAAGGCGUAGUCGAUGGGAAACGGGUUAAUAUUCCCGUACUUGGUGUUACUGCGAAGGGGGGACGGAGAAGGCUAUGUUGGCCGGGCGACGGUU